GGUGAAUUACAUUAAUGGAUUUCAAAUGUUGAGUGAGCCGUGCAUUCCUGGAAUACACCCUACUUGGUCAUGUCAAGUCGUCUGCAGAAAAAGACACAUACAGUUAACUUUAGAGAAUGAUGAUGACUCUGUGAAGGCAGAAAUGAAACUCUUGAUUUUAUGAUGGGGCCGAGAAGAGGAGGAACUUUUAUCUAACCCGUAAGAAAAGUUUUUAUGCAUAAGCAAACAGAACAUCAUAAGAGUAAUAAUAAAAAUGCAAAAUUGCUUAAGGGACCUCAUGAGAUCAUUCGGAAGUGAUGAAAUGUAAUUCAGUUCCAUGCAGUGAUCAUUUACUGAUAAUCUCUUAAGUGUAAGGCCCUACUUACUAGACCAUGGGGGACAUAUAAGAACAAGAGAUAGAAUCAAUCCAUCAAAUAGGCCCAUCCUUUCCUUGGGGAACUUCGAGCAAUUAUCAAGUAAGUGUUUCCCAUCUGAAACGGUCAGGUGCUUGCUCCAUCGUUGCUGAUUCUCUGGUCCACAGAUCCAGGGGACUGCUAUGGUCUGAAUAUUUGUGUCUCCCCAAAUUCAUAAAUUGAAACCCCACCCCCAAAGUGAUGGUUUUAGGAAGUGGGGACUUCAAAGGUGAUUAGGUCAUGAGCAUGGAGCUUCCAUUAGUGAGAUUAGUGCCCUCAGUAAAGAGACCCUGGAGAGCUCCCUCACCGCUUCCACCAUGUGAGGACACAGUGAGUAGACGAGUAGAUGCCAUCUGUGAACCAGGAAGCAGGUCCUCACCAGACACCGAAUCUGCCAGGACGUUGAUCUUGAACUUCCAGCCUCCAGAACAGUGAGAAAUAAAUUUCUGUAGUUAAUAAGCCUCCCAGCUUAUGGUAUUCUAUAAUAGCAGCCAGAGUACACUCAGAUGGGGCCUGUCCUUUACCUACAACUAUCCCGUUGGGUUGUGAAUUAGAGGCCCCUGCACCGUGAUGUUCUUGUGGAGUGUGGACCCUUCCCCAUGGCACUCUCAUGCCAUUCCCCUUCCUGUAUUGUAUCAGUGCACAACGCAGGCAACUGUGACAGUAGGGGCUGUGUGGUGGUGCAUCUUUGAUCUCACGUCACAGUUCUUCCUCUGGACCUGCCAUGCCCUUUGGUCGUAGUGGGUGCUUUUCACCUGCCAUGCACAUGGUUAAUGUUUGUGAACACUAAGUUCUGAUGUUGUGGAUGAGAAAGGUUGGGAUUGUCAAUAAAGAGGAGAGCAAAUUGUGCAGCUACAAAUAAAAUCAUGCAACACCUCAAGAAUCCGUGUUAGAAACCAUCAUAUAUAUUUGUGCAUAUAUGUAUUUAUACAUAUGUACAUUUUUUCCAGGAAGCUUGUGAGUCCAGAUACACAUCAAAUCCAUAUCCAUGGUUUACAAGUGGCAGAAGGCCAAGGUACUGGCAG
RNAcentral lists this long non-coding RNA (1417 nucleotides) under Homo sapiens (human). RNAcentral's name for it is "HSALNT0157532". Lineage: Eukaryota; Metazoa; Chordata; Mammalia; Primates; Hominidae. The record is from RNAcentral.